GGAGAUGAAAAACUGAGGGAAGCACUUGAAGAAGAAACAGUCAGAUUGUUUAUUUGAUACAGAGGGUUCCACUUCCAAGUGGCUCUGAAAGCAGAAGGCGGAGUGGUACAUAAUUUCCAUGAAGUUAAUAUAAAACACAACACUUAAUCUAUUUCUGCUUCUUAAUCUUGGAGAAAUAGUCUCUGCUGCAUACUGCAUCGUGCCACUUCCAUACUCUUCAGCUUACUGAUUUCGGAUGCUGUAGUUGAAGGGAAGAGAAUUCCACAUUUAUGGCCUAGCUCUUUCAUUUCAUUUGCAGUGAGGGAGUUGAGGAAGAGUAUGUCUUCCAUUCCUAACAAAUUUUCCUCCAAGCCUAGGAACUUGGCCUUCUUCUUUCAGAGCCUUGCGCUUCUCUUCGGGUAGGUUGUGUUAGGUUCUCCUUGUAGGCUAGCCUCUGCCCUCGAGAUGGGUGCUCUGGGAAUCAUUAGAAACAUUGCUGAUAGGUAGUUGUUGAGAGUUGAGAAAAUCUUCUUUGUUGAGACCAGGUGUAGCUCCUUAUUAUUCACUUUAGGUUUAUGUGGUGGGAUGGUU
This 570-nucleotide long non-coding RNA is filed under the name Elaeis guineensis (African oil palm). Its description in RNAcentral is "long non-coding RNA (EGUI_LNC076669)". Lineage: Eukaryota; Viridiplantae; Streptophyta; Magnoliopsida; Arecales; Arecaceae. The record is from RNAcentral.